Molecule: ribosomal RNA, 468 nt
Filed under: uncultured bacterium
Lineage: Bacteria
Description: partial 16S ribosomal RNA
Rfam family: Bacterial small subunit ribosomal RNA
Source: RNAcentral
GACGAACGCUGGCGGCGUGCUUAACACAUGCAAGUCGAGCGGAGAGGCCCUGGGUUGGUGGGGUGCUCGAGUGGCGAACGGGUGAGUAACGCGUGAGUAACAUGCCCUGGACUUUGGGAUAACGUCAGGGGACUGGGGCUAAUACCGGGUAGGAGAUCCUGCUGCAGGGUGGGGGUUGGAAAGUUUCGGCGGUAGGGGAUGGAAUCGCGGCUUAUGAGCUUGUGGGUGGGGUAGUGGCGUACGACGGCUUUGCGGGGUAGCCGGCCUGAGAGGGUGACCGGCCCCAUUGGGACUGAGAUACGGCCCAGACUCCUCCGGGAGGCAGCAGUGGGGAAUAUUGCACAAUGGGCGGAAGCCUGAGGCAGCAACGCCGCGUGCGGGAUGACGGCCUUCGGGUUGUAAACCGCUUUCGCCUGUGACGAAGCGUGAGUGACGGUAAUGGGUAAAGAAGCACCGGCUAACUACGUG